Molecule: ribosomal RNA, 478 nt
Filed under: uncultured bacterium
Lineage: Bacteria
Description: partial 16S ribosomal RNA
Rfam family: Bacterial small subunit ribosomal RNA
Source: RNAcentral
GACGAACGCUGGCGGCGUGCUUAACACAUGCAAGUCGAACGGUAAGGCCCUUCGGGGUACACGAGUGGCGAACGGGUGAGUAACACGUGGGUGAUCUGCCCUGCACUUCGGGAUAAGCCUGGGCAACUGGGUCUAAUACCGGAUAGGACCACUGCCCGCAUGGGUGGUGGUGGAAAGCUUUUGCGGUGUGGGAUGGGCCCGCGGCCUAUCAGCUUGUUGGUGGGGUGAUGGCCUACCAAGGCGACGACGGGUAGCCGGCCUGAGAGGGUGACCGGCCACACUGGGACUGAGAUACGGCCCAGACUCCUACGGGAGGCAGCAGUGGGGAAUAUUGCACAAUGGGCGCAAGCCUGAUGCAGCGACGCCGCGUGAGGGAUGACGGCCUUCGGGUUGUAAACCUCUUUCAGCACCGACGAAGCGCAAGUGACGGUAGGUGCAGAAGAAGGACCGGCCAACUACGUGCCAGCAGCCGCAGUAA